UACGGAAGGCAGCAGUGGGGAAUAUUGCACAAUGGGCGAAAGCCUGAUGCAGCUAUGCCGCGUGUAUGAAGAAGGCCUUAGGGUUGUAAAGUACUUUCAUCGGGGAGGAAAAAACAAAACUAAUAAUUUUAUUUCUUGACGUUACCCGAAAAAGAAGCACCGGCUAACUCCGUGCCAGCAGCCGCGGUAAUACGGAGGGUGCUAGCGUUAAUCAGAAUUACUGGGCGUAAAGAGCACGUAGGUGGUUUUUUUAAGUCAGAUGUGAAAUCCCUGGGCUUAACCUAGGAACUGCAUUUUGAAACUGAAAUACUAGAGUAUCGUAGAGGGAGGUAGAAUUCUAGGUGUAGCGGUGAAAUGCGUAGAUAUCUGGAGGAAUACCUGUGGCGAAAGCGGCCUCCUAAACGAAUACUGACACUGAGGUGCGAAAGCGUGGGGAGCAAACGAGGAUUAGGAUACCCGU
This 460-nucleotide ribosomal RNA is filed under the name uncultured bacterium. RNAcentral describes it as "bacterial SSU rRNA". It matches the Rfam family "Bacterial small subunit ribosomal RNA", at positions 340 to 790 of the family's 1533-position model. The record is from RNAcentral.